RNAcentral lists this long non-coding RNA (793 nucleotides) under Ananas comosus (pineapple). RNAcentral describes it as "long non-coding RNA (ACOM_LNC007401)". Lineage: Eukaryota; Viridiplantae; Streptophyta; Magnoliopsida; Poales; Bromeliaceae. The record is from RNAcentral.
AACAAUACAAAUAAAAACAAAAAGAGAUAAAAUUAAGGAAAAACUUCAAAUAUCAUUCAUGUGGUUUUGCUUUUUUUUAUUUUAGUACCAUGUGGUUUAAAGUGUAUUAAUUAAGUACCCUAUGAUUUCAUUUUUUUUCUUUUUAUUAUACCCUCCACUAAUUUUUUUUAAAAUUAGUGGCAAAGUUAAAACUAAAAGGUACUAAAGUGAAUAUUCGAUAAACUGAAGUGGGUGUGUGAAGUUUUUUUUUUGCAUAUAAUUUAAAAAAAAUGUUAACGGAGCAGCUGACAAAAAGAAAAAAUGACACUACAUAGUAGUGAAUUAAUAUACUUUAAACCAUAAAAUACUAAAGUGAGAAAAUGCGAAACCUAAGGGGUGGUAUUUGAAGUUUAGAUUUUAAAUUUAUAAAUUUUAUAUUUAUAUUUUAAAUUAAAAUAUAAAAUUUUAUAUUUUUGUUAAAAUUUAAAAUUUUUUAAAUUUAAAUUAUUUAAAAUAAAAUUUAGUAGAAAAAGACUAUUUAUAAACAGUAAAAAAAUAAUUUAUCAAAUAUAACUAAGGGCAAUUUUAAAAUAGACUAUAUACUUUAUUAUCAAAAUUAUUAAAUUUUAUAGAUUGAAAUAAACAAAAUAAUAAUAUAAAUACUGAGUAUUAUAUUACUGCAUUAAAUCAAGCACACUAAUACAGCAUCAAUAGCAUUAAUAAUAAUUUCAUUUAGAAAUCAAAAUAUCUGGAGAUAUUAAAAUACUUUGUAAUAUUAAAUAAUUCGAAACAAACACGCUCUAGAAUUAAAAUA